Molecule: unclassified non-coding RNA, 307 nt
Filed under: uncultured fungus
Lineage: Eukaryota; Fungi
Description: sequence contains ITS1
Rfam family: 5.8S ribosomal RNA (bases 1-107)
Source: RNAcentral
GAAAUGCGAUACUUGGUGUGAAUUGCAGAAUCCCGUGAACCAUCGAGUCUUUGAACGCAAGUUGCGCCCGAAGCCAUUAGGCCGAGGGCACGCCUGCCUGGGUGUCACACAUCGUUUCCCCAACGCGCCUCGUGGUUGGUUGAAAUCUGGGUUCAUGGCCGACUUCGCCGUGAUAAAAUGGUGGAUGAGCCACGCUCGAGACCAAUCACGUGCGAGCCGGUCAGUUCUGGACCCAUCGACGACCCUUUGCGUGCACGCACGCUCCCAACGAGACCUCAGGUCAGGCGGGGCUACCCGCUGAGUUUAA